Molecule: long non-coding RNA, 229 nt
Filed under: Mustela putorius furo (domestic ferret)
Lineage: Eukaryota; Metazoa; Chordata; Mammalia; Carnivora; Mustelidae
Description: lncRNA (ENSMPUG00000031873.1)
Source: RNAcentral
GACGGACCAUGCCCUCGGGCACAGACUCAUCACUGACACCAGGGGAAUGCCAGGUGCUGCUUGACUGAGGCCUGGGUCCUUAAAGCGGUUACUAGCAAGGACACAUUUUCUAUAUUUGAGGAUAUUUACAUACGGAGGCCAUGAUGACGAUGAAACCACAUUUCACAUCAUGAGGACACAACCACGGUCACUUUGUUAUUCCUAAGGGAUAGGAGCAGAGGCGAACUGU